GCCGGUGUGGCUCAGUGGAUAGAGCCUUGGCCUGUCGGCCAAAGGGUCCCAGGUUCGAUUCCUGGGCAAGGGCA
Molecule: non-coding RNA, 74 nt
Organism: Myotis brandtii (Brandt's bat)
Lineage: Eukaryota; Metazoa; Chordata; Mammalia; Chiroptera; Vespertilionidae
Source: Rfam